Molecule: ribosomal RNA, 445 nt
Filed under: uncultured bacterium
Lineage: Bacteria
Description: SSU rRNA
Rfam family: Bacterial small subunit ribosomal RNA
Source: RNAcentral
AGAACGAACGCUGGCGGCAGGCCUAACACAUGCAAGUCGAACGCGACCUUCGGGUCGAGUGGCGCACGGGUGAGUAACGCGUGGGAACCUGUCCUGUGGUACGGAAUAACACCGGGAAACUGGUGCUAAUACCGUAUAUCCCCUGAGGGGAAAGAUUUAUCGCCAUAGGAGGGGCCCGCGUAGGAUUAGCUAGUUGGUGAGGUAACGGCUCACCAAGGCGACGAUCCUUAGCUGGUCUGAGAGGAUGAUCAGCCACACUGGGACUGAGACACGGCCCAGACUCCUACGGGAGGCAGCAGUGGGGAAUAUUGGACAAUGGGGGAAACCCUGAUCCAGCCAUGCCGCGUGAGUGAUGAAGGCCUUCGGGUUGUAAAGCUCUUUCGCACGCGACGAUGAUGACGGUAGCGUGAGAAGAAGCCCCGGCUAACUUCGUGCCAGCAGCCGC